GACGUAGGGCGCGAGCGUUGUCCGGAUUUAUUGGGCGUAAAGAGCUCGUAGGCGGCUUGUUGCGUCGGCUGUGAAAACCCGCGCCUUAACCGUGGGCUUGCAGCCGAUACGGGCAGGCUAGAGUUCGGUAGGGGAGACUGGAAUUCCUGGUGUAGCGGUGAAAUGCGCAGAUAUCAGGAGGAACACCAGUGGCGAAGGCGACUUCCUGGCCUGUUCUUGACGCUGAGGCGCGAAAGCUAGGGGAGCAAACGGG
Molecule: ribosomal RNA, 253 nt
Filed under: uncultured bacterium
Lineage: Bacteria
Description: partial 16S ribosomal RNA
Rfam family: Bacterial small subunit ribosomal RNA
Source: RNAcentral